RNAcentral lists this ribosomal RNA (510 nucleotides) under uncultured bacterium. Its description in RNAcentral is "partial 16S ribosomal RNA". It matches the Rfam family "Bacterial small subunit ribosomal RNA", at positions 28 to 507 of the family's 1533-position model. The record is from RNAcentral.
GACGAACGCUGGCGGCGUGCUUAACACAUGCAAGUCGAACGAAGAGCGACGGAAGCUUGCUUCUAUCAAUCUUAGUGGCGCACGGGUGAGUAACGCGUAAUCAACCUGCCCUUCAGAGGGGGACAACAGUUGGAAACGACUGCUAAUACCGCAUACGAUCUAAUCUCGGCAUCGAGGAUGGAUGAAAGGUGGCCUCUACAUGUAAGCUAUCACUGAAGGUGGGGAUUGCGUCUGAUUAGCUAGUUGGAGGGGUAACGGCCCACCAAGGCGAUGAUCAGUAGCCGGUCUGAGAGGAUGAACGGCCACAUUGGGACUGAGACACGGCCCAGACUCCUACGGGAGGCAGCAGUGGGGAAUCUUCCGCAAUAGACGGAAGUCUGACGGAGCAACGCCGCGGGAGUGAUGACGGCCGUCGGGUUGUAAAGCUCGGUUAAUCGGGACGAAAGGCCUUCUUGCGAAUAGGGAGAAGGAUUGACGGUACCGGAAUAGAAAGCCACGGCUAACUACGUG